UACGGGAGGCAGCAGUGGGGAAUAUUGCACAAUGGGCGCAAGCCUGAUGCAGCCAUGCCGCGUGUAUGAAGAAGGCCUUCGGGUUGUAAAGUACUUUCAGUCGUGAGGAAGGUGUUAAGGUUAAUAACCUUAGCAAUUGACGUUAGCGACAGAAGAAGCACCGGCUAACUCCGUGCCAGCAGCCGCGGUAAUACGGAGGGUGCGAGCGUUAAUCGGAAUUACUGGGCGUAAAGGGCACGCAGGCGGUUAAUUAAGUUGGAUGUGAAAUCCCCGGGCUUAACCUGGGAAUGGCAUUCAAGACUGGUUAGCUAGAGUCUUGUAGAGGGGGUAGAAUUCCGAUGUGUAGCGGUGAAAUGCGUAGAGAUGUGGAGGAAUACCGGUGGCGAAGGCGGCCCCUGGACAAGACUGACGCUCAUGUGCGAAAGCGUGGGGAGCAAACAGGGAUUAGAUACC
RNAcentral lists this ribosomal RNA (453 nucleotides) under uncultured bacterium. RNAcentral's name for it is "bacterial SSU rRNA". It matches the Rfam family "Bacterial small subunit ribosomal RNA", at positions 340 to 786 of the family's 1533-position model. The record is from RNAcentral.